This 214-nucleotide long non-coding RNA is filed under the name Cyanistes caeruleus (blue tit). Its description in RNAcentral is "lncRNA (ENSCCEG00000015711.1)". Lineage: Eukaryota; Metazoa; Chordata; Aves; Passeriformes; Paridae. The record is from RNAcentral.
CAUCUUUGUCUUUUCCCCUCCCAAAACAGAGUCACAGUAGUGUUACAACCAUCUCUUUCAGGGAGGACUGCAGUCACCCUUCAUCCCUACAGCCAUCUGGGCUAAAACACUGGCUUUGGGCUCCAUGAUGAAGAGCCACAAGCAGAGGCUGUGGAGCACUAGUCACACAUUACUGAAGGGGACCUCUACAAGGCUACAUGGCUCUCAUAACUAC